GAUGAACGCUGGCGGCGUGCCUAACACAUGCAAGUCGAGCGAUUUACUUCGGUAAAGAGCGGCGGACGGGUGAGUAACGCGUGGUUAACCUGGCCUGUCCACACGGAUAACAUACCGAAAGGUAUGCUAAUACGAGAUAAUACGCAUUUAUCGCAUGGAAGGAGUAUCAAAGCUCCGGCGGUAGAGGAUGGACCCGUGUCUGAUUAGCUAGUUGGUAAGGUAACGGCUUACCAAGGCGACGAUCAGUAGCCGACCUGAGAGGGUGAUCGGCCACAUUGGAACUGAGACACGGUCCAAACUCCUACGGGAGGCAGCAGUGGGGAAUAUUGCACAAUGGGCGAAAGCCUGAUGCAGCAACGCCGCGUGAGCGAUGAAGGCCUUCGGGUCGUAAAGCUCUGUCCUCAAGGAAGAUAAUGACGGUACUUGAGGAGGAAGCCCCGGCUAACUACGUGCCAGCAGCCGCCGUAA
Molecule: ribosomal RNA, 468 nt
Filed under: uncultured bacterium
Lineage: Bacteria
Description: partial 16S ribosomal RNA
Rfam family: Bacterial small subunit ribosomal RNA
Source: RNAcentral